This 408-nucleotide ribosomal RNA is filed under the name uncultured bacterium. RNAcentral describes it as "partial 16S ribosomal RNA". It matches the Rfam family "Bacterial small subunit ribosomal RNA", at positions 30 to 526 of the family's 1533-position model. The record is from RNAcentral.
AUUGAACGCUGGCGGCGUGCCUAAUACAUGCAAGUCGAACGAAUUGGCGCACGGGUGAGUAAUAUAUAGUUAAUCCGCCCUACACAGAGGAACAACAGUUGGAAACGACUGCUAAUACCUCAUAGUGUAGGAUGAGACUAUAUCGUAUCAGCUAGUUGGUAAGGUAAUGGAGUACCAAGGCUAUGACGCGUAACUGGUCUGAGAGGAUGAGCAGUAACAUUGGAACUGAGGCACGAUACAGAAACCUACGGGAGGCAGCAGUAAGGAAUAGGGCGAAAGGGGGGAAACCCAGAAGCAGCAACGCCGCGUGGAGGAUGACAAUUUGCGGAGCGUAAACUCCUAUGAUCAGGAAAGCGGUACCUGAUGAAAAAGCACCGGCUAACUCCGUGCCAGCAGCCGCGGUAAUAC